GCGAGUGGGGGUUCGGCGGCCUCACCUGUCCUCACUCAGCGGCGGCGAGAGGCGGCGGCGGCAGCGCGUCCGGCGGAGAGGGCCGCCGCCAGGAAUGAAUCUGAAGUCUGCUGCAGUAAAACACUGAAGGCUUUAAAAUGUUUUCUUGCGUAAAAGUCAAACUUUAAGUAGCUGCUUAUGAGGAUAGGGAAGGCAGGAAGCUAAUGUCUGUCUCAAGACACAGGACAGCUGUUUGCUCAUCAACCUCAACUGUGUGUGCAACAGAAGAACAUGGCGCAAGAAACUAAUCACAGCCAAGCACCUAUGCUUUGCUCCACUGGCUGCGGAUUUUAUGGAAACCCUCGUACAAAUGGCAUGUGCUCAGUAUGCUAUAAAGAACAUCUUCAAAGACAGAACAGUAGCAAUGGUAGAAUAAGCCCACCUGCAGCUUCUGUCAGCAGUCUGUCUGAAUCCUUACCAGUACAGUGCGCAGAUGGCAGUGUCCCAGACGCUCAGUCGGCGCUAGAUUCUACGUCUUCAUCUAUGCAGCCAGGCCCUGUAUCAAAUCAGUCACUUUUAUCAGAAUCUGUAGCACCUUCCCAAGUGGACAGUACAUCAGUGGACAAAGCAGUAUCCGAGACAGAAGACCUGCAAGCUUCAGUAUCAGAUACGACACAGCAGCCAUCUGAAGAGCAAAGCAAGUCUCUUGAAAAACCAAAACAAAAA
RNAcentral lists this long non-coding RNA (705 nucleotides) under Rattus norvegicus (Norway rat). Its description in RNAcentral is "long non-coding RNA NONRATT002862". The record is from RNAcentral. Lineage: Eukaryota; Metazoa; Chordata; Mammalia; Rodentia; Muridae.